Molecule: long non-coding RNA, 1662 nt
Filed under: Homo sapiens (human)
Lineage: Eukaryota; Metazoa; Chordata; Mammalia; Primates; Hominidae
Description: HSALNT0175307
Source: RNAcentral
UCCAGGAGGGACUUUGGGCCAAGAUGUUUUUGCCCAACAGAUGCUUUUGGUAUGGAGAGCUGAGAGGAACUACACCGUGAUGGAGAAGUGAAGGCUGGGUGCUUUGGGCUGGUUCAGGCUCUGAAUCCAGAAUAGAGAGUGGGGCCUGAGGGUGCAUUGUAUAGUCCUCAGUGGAGCACAUGAGGGCAGAGAAGAGGGGUUGUAGCAGGAAUCCACACCUGCAGCUACAACAUGGCCUUUACUGGGAGAAUGUGAGGCAUAAAGGUCAAGAGUUGAUCUAGCCAUGGAAGGCCAAGCUCCAACAGCCCCAUGAAAUAGAAGGAUCAUGAUCCCAAAUGAGACUCAGCCUGCCUCUCAAUCCCCAGGGGAAGGAGUCCUGAACUGAGAAAUCUGGCAAUGCCCAGCUAUCCUUCAAAUAUGCUGUGGGGCCGUGGAGCGAAUCAUAUCCUCUCCCUUGGCCUCAGUUUCUGCAUCUAAUAGCAUGGGGCAUUUGGACCAGAUGAAUUCUGAAUAGGUUGGGUGACUGUAGAGUUGUAUUCAGGACAGUGACUAAGCAUUUUCCAUGUUUUGAGAUGAUAGUUCACCAUUUUCUUUAAGGGGCUGAAUCCCUUUGGCCUGACUGCCUGACUCUAAAGUCUCAGCUUUCGGACCCUACAUCAAUAAGGAGCUGGAGAGAGGAUGGAGAUCUCCCCAAUACCCUAGGGAAAUGGGGACUGGGAGGGCUGGGGUAAUGGAGCAGUCACUGCCUGCAUCCUAGAAUAGCUGCAGCCUUCCUGGCAUCUGCCAUCCUGGCUGCAAACUCCCAUCUCAUUGGCUGCUCCUUGUCCCUGCCGUCUGGCAGGCACUGCUUUCCAGGUUUUUGUGGCACCGACUAAGCAGCCUCCUUGCAAGCUACAGCAUGCUGGCUUCUUUCUCCACGUGGUUGGGAUCAUAAUAGCAACUCUCCUCUGGUUCCCUCCAUCCUGCCUCACUUCACUUCCCUGAUGGGUGUGGACAGAGGGAUAGUUUAGGACAUUGGAAAGGGGCCUAUACUUGGCAUCAAGGGUCUCAAGUUCUUCCUACCCAUUUUUUAUGCACCUGGGCACAAGUCUAAACAUCUCUCCUGGCUUCAGCAUCUUCACCUGUGAAAUGGGUGUGAUGAGGCUGUUGUUCUACUGCUGUUAACCAGGGUGUUCAUCCCUGUGGUUCACAGCUGGAGUCCCUUUUGCUUGGCCAGUGCCCAAACUAUACGGGUUGUUUAAUAAAUGAAAUAUCUCCCUGAGGAUAAUAACGUUGGGGCAUUCACAUAGAACUUGCUGUGAGAAUUCAAUGGAGAUAAAUGAAGGAUGGGAGCAAGUGCUUUGGGAACUGUAAAGUCAUUAUCAAGUAGCGAAUACACCUGUCUGUCCAGUACCCAUUUGUCUCCUCUGUCUUGAAGGUACGUUUCACCUUGAUUUUCCACUCCCUGAUUCUUAACCAUAUAGUUCAAUUGGGACUUGCUCCACUCCCAGCUCCAAGUCUGCAUGUGAGCAGGCCUGGGCAGGUGAGCAUGUCCUCCUCUGGCUGCAGUGAUAGGUUCAGAGAUGAAUCAAACCGAAAAAGCCUUAUCCAAGCCAAUCCUGGGGUAGGACCCAGACCUGAUCAAUAAGAACACACAUGUUCUCACUGUGAUAAUGGCUUAGG